RNAcentral lists this ribosomal RNA (866 nucleotides) under uncultured bacterium. Its description in RNAcentral is "bacterial SSU rRNA". It matches the Rfam family "Bacterial small subunit ribosomal RNA", at positions 1 to 855 of the family's 1533-position model. The record is from RNAcentral.
CAAAAGUCCUUAGAGUUUGAUCCUGGCUCAGGAUGAACGCUAGCUACAGGCUUAACACAUGCAAGUCGAGGGGCAGCAUGACGAUAGCUUGCUAUUGUUGAUGGCGACCGGCGCACGGGUGAGUAACGCGUAUCCAACCUUCCCGUUGCUAGGGGAUAACCUUGCGAAAGUAAGACUAAUACCCUAUGAAGUUCUUCGCAGGCAUCUAAAGAGAACCAAAGAUUUAUCGGCAACGGAUGGGGAUGCGUCUGAUUAGGUUGUUGGCGGGGUAACGGCCCACCAAGCCUACGAUCAGUAGGGGUUCUGAGAGGAAGGUCCCCCACAUUGGAACUGAGACACGGUCCAAACUCCUACGGGAGGCAGCAGUGAGGAAUACUGGUCAAUGGACGGAAGUCUGAACCAGCCAAGUAGCGUGCAGGAAGACGGCCCUAUGGGUUGUAAACUGCUUUUAUGUGGGAAUAAAGUGAGGGACGUGUCCCUUUUUGUAGGUACCACAUGAAUAAGGACCGGCUAAUUCCGUGCCAGCAGCCGCGGUAAUACGGAAGGUCCGGGCGUUAUCCGGAUUUAUUGGGUUUAAAGGGAGCGUAGGCCGUCUUUUAAGCGUGUUGUGAAAUACUGUCGCUCAACGACAGAGGUGCAGCGCGAACUGGGAGACUUGAGUGCGCGGAAUGCAGGCGGAAUUCGUCGUGUAGCGGUGAAAUGCUUAGAUAUGACGAAGAACUCCGAUUGCGAAGGCAGCUUGCAGUAGCGUAACUGACGCUGAAGCUCGAAAGUGCGGGUAUCGAACAGGAUUAGAUACCCUGGUAGUCCGCACGGUAAACGAUGGAUGCCCGCUGUUGGUCUGAAUAGGUCAGCGGCCAAGCGAA